This is an RNA transcript of Myxocyprinus asiaticus (Chinese sucker), 2804 nucleotides long. It is a transcript of the gene named histone H2B-like, with no coding region annotated. NCBI's taxonomy places the organism in Eukaryota, Metazoa, Chordata, Actinopteri, Cypriniformes, Catostomidae. The record is from RefSeq and is a predicted model, not a curated record. The transcript has 5 exons.
GAGAAAUCCGACAAACCCAACGGCUCUUUUAAGAGCCACACACAAUCUCACAUAAAGAGUUAAUAGCUGUGUCCGAAACCGCCCCUUAUCCACUAUAUAGUGCACUAUAUCGGGUGUCGGCCAUUUUGUAGUGGUGUCCGAAUUCAUUCACUACGUCUCGUUCACUAUAUCUGUUAACUCAUUCUCGCCCACAAUGCAAUCUGAUUUCCAGGGUCUAUAUGAUGUACAUUCUCUGAUCCCUUUUUCCCAUAAUUCAACGCGGAGACCGCGGCAGAGUGCAAACAAAAAACAAAUUGCAAAUUGCAAAUGGCGGGCGCAAACACCGGAGGUGGCAACUUUUACAAAUGGAGGGGUGAAGACGUAACGUGUCUCAUAAUGAGCAGGAUGGCCAAUGGUCAUCUCUUCUCUGGGCGCAGGAACGCAGCCCGGUUUGGAUAGGAAACUGAACUGAAGGAGAUGGAUGCUUGGUGUGGUAACCCCUGCCAAAAAGUGGGAAAAAUUGAAGAAAACCUACAAGUGCAGGUGAAUGAUGACCAAAUCUUUUAGCUCCAAAAAGGACAUAAAGGCAGCAUUAAGGAGCUAAGGAAGCCACCCACUCUCCUCAUGGACUGCACCAGAUUUGCCAGUUCUUGCUGUGAGAUGUUACCCCACUCUUCCAAGGCACUUGCAAGUUCCCGGACAUUUCUGGGGGGAAUGACCCUAGCCCUCACCCUCCGAUCCAACAGGUCCCAGACGUGCUCAAUGGGAUUGAGAUCCGGGCUUUUUGCUGGCCAUGGCAGAACACUGACAUUCCUGUCUUGCAGGAAAUCACGCACAGAACGAGCAGUAUGGCUGGUGGCAUUGUCAUGCUGGAGGGUCAUGUCAGGAUGAGCCUGCAGGAAGGGUACCACAUGAGGGAGGAGGAUGUCUUCCCUGUAACGCAUAGCGUUGAGAUUGCCUGCAAUGACGACAAACUCAGUCCAAUGAUACUGUGACACACCACCCCAGACCAUGACGGACCCUCCAACUCCAAAUCGAUUCCGCUCCAGAGUACAGGCCUCGGUGUAACGUUCAUUCCUUCGACGAUAAACGCGAGUCCAACUAUCUCCUCUGGUGAGACAAAACCGCGACUCGUCGGUGAAGAGCACUUUUUGCCAGUCCUGUCUGGUCCAGUGAAGGUAGGUUUGUGCUCAUAGGUGACAUUGUUGCCGGUGAUAUCUGGUAAGGACCUGCCUUACAACAGGCAUAGAAGCCCUCAGUCCAGCCUCUCUCAGCCUAUUGCAGACAGUCUGAGCACUGAUGGAGGGAUUGUGCGUUCCUGGUGUAACUCGGGCAGUUGUUGUUGCCAUCCUGUACCUGUCCUGCAGGUGUGAUAUUCAGAUGUACCGAUCCUGUGCAGGUGUUGUUACACGUGGUCUGCCACUGCGAGGAUGAUCAGCUGUCCUUCCUGUCUCCCUGUAGUGUUGUCUUGGGUGUCUCACAGUAUGGACAUUGCAAUUUAUUGCCCUUCCCACAUCUGCAGUCCUCAUGCCUCCAUGCAGCAUGCCUAUGGCACGUUCACGCAGAUGAGCAGGGACCCUGGGCAUCUUUCUUUUGGUGUUUUUCAGAGUCAGUAGAAAGGUCUCUUUGGUGUCCUAAGUUUUUAUAACUGUGACCUUAAUUGCCUACUGUCUGUAAGCUGUUAGUGUCUUAACUACCGUUCCACAGGUGCAUGUUCAUUAAUUGUUUAUGGUUCAUUGAACAAGCAUGGAAAACAUUGUUUAAACCCUUUAUAAAAAAGAUCUGUGAAGUUAUUUGGAUUUUUACAAAAUUAUAUUUAAAAUACAGUGUCCUGAAAAAAGGAUGUUUUUUUUUUUUUUUUUUGCUGAGUAAACGCAAGAUACACAAAUGAUCCACUGACCAUGAUGAUCAGUGUAUUAUUAACAUCAUCUUUGAACACUAUCUUUUAUUAGUUUCUUAUGUAGACAAAAUACAUUCAACUGUAAACUAAAAACUGAAGUUUAAGUUUAAAUAUCCUGUUAGAAAUUUUACAGGAGUUCAAUGGAUCUCAUCAGUUAUUUAGUUUACAGCUAAAUGUAUAAUGUCUUAUUACCGAUCUGUGGCAUCGAAGAGCUCAAAGUUGUCGCUCUUUGUGUAAUAUGCCUUUUUAUUCUCCCCUAGGAACAUAAAAUUCACCAGAACCAAAACCAACAAGAUGGAGUACAUUUUUGAGCCAAGUUUGCCUCCAGACUCGGGUGGAGGACACCGACAAGAAGAUCACCGCGAAAAUGUGUGCUUGUGUUAGUUUUUGUUGGUAGUUUACUUUUCCACAAUUUGUUUUAAUAUAUAUAUAUAUAUAUAUAUAUAUAAUUAGUCAGUAGCGUUUUCAUUCUUUUUUAUCUUUAAUGACAAACAGUUAUAUUAACUUUUAAUGAAAAAAAAAAAACAUGACAAGUUGAAGUAUUUCCUCUUUAUCAUUAUUGUAAUAAUCAGAACAAAUGAACAGUUGUGAAAAGAUUAAUUGUAUUAUGAUUUUUUUCUCUUUUUUUAAUAAUGCAAAAAUAAAACAAUGGCGGAGGUAUGCACAGUAAAACAUUUAAUUGCAUAUUAUAAAUGUAUAUAUAAUCUACAUAAAGAUGACAAAAUUAAUGAAGCCACACAGGCGAAAUGUUCAUGACGAAAUGUCUGCGACACCUCCCGAGUGUUCUCUGACGCACUGAAUUUACGUCAGCGUCUGAAAUCGCUCACUCAUUUCGUUCACUCACUGCUGAAAUAUAGUGCACUCACUGCCAUUCACUAUAUAGGAAAUAGUGAACGAGUGGCGAUUUCAGGCACAGCUAAUGUCU